CCAGGCUGUUUGACAGAUUCAUGGAUGGUUUCAAGCUGUACUGGUUGCAUCCACAUCAGGGCUCCAGUGAGCAUGUCCUCCAUUAUAUUUUCCAUAUCUUGUAACAAGGGAGAGCAGGGACUUGUUGGCAAACUUUCAUCCAGGAAUGUGAUGUGUUCUCCAUUAGAGAGUUUGACUCCUAGCUGCAUGUUAGGGAGAUCAAAAGUGACAGGACUAUGUUUAUACAUCCAGUCAGCUCCAAGAAUGAGAUCAUAUCCUGUAAGUUUCAACAUUCUGAAAUCGGAUACUAGUUCCACUCCCUGAAUAGU
Long non-coding RNA from Triticum aestivum (bread wheat), 308 nucleotides. RefSeq lists it as uncharacterized. Lineage: Eukaryota; Viridiplantae; Streptophyta; Magnoliopsida; Poales; Poaceae. The transcript is spliced from 3 exons. The record is from RefSeq and is a predicted model, not a curated record.